This is a long non-coding RNA of Maylandia zebra (zebra mbuna), 410 nucleotides long. RefSeq lists it as uncharacterized. Lineage: Eukaryota; Metazoa; Chordata; Actinopteri; Cichliformes; Cichlidae. The record is from RefSeq and is a predicted model, not a curated record.
GCGUCAUGUUGUGGAAGCUGCCAUCUUGCCCCACCAUCAUACACUGGCUGAGAUGGGCAUCGCUGCGCCGCCUUUUCAUGUUUUAUGCAUUACGCUGACGGAGGGAUGGAUGGACCAUGAAUGCUUUCUCAUCCUUCUUGUCAUGCACCAUGGAAGUGUCUGAGGGGCUUUUCCACUUGGAAUGGGGAUACUGUGUCCACACUUCAGAGGUGGAGUUUCCAGCAUCUCACCUGGGCCUCAUCUGCAAACAAUCAGCAGGAGGGCUUCUUAAACCAGCGCUGCCUGCUACUCCUCGCCAGUUUGUUCUGCCAUCUCCAGUGGUCUCCUCUGCCAACAUACUCAUCCUACCCUCAAACUCCCUUACCCGUCCAGCAACUUCUUCUCCCUCUGUUGCAGAAUUCCCGUUGGAU